RNAcentral lists this long non-coding RNA (401 nucleotides) under Homo sapiens (human). RNAcentral's name for it is "non-protein coding lnc-LRCH1-6:1". The record is from RNAcentral. Lineage: Eukaryota; Metazoa; Chordata; Mammalia; Primates; Hominidae.
GAAUUGGCGUUUGCCGAGGCUGGCAUAGAUUUGGCUGUCUCCGCUCAUAGCUGCUUUUGGCGCGAAAGAUGCCGGGUCUGGUUGACUCAAACCCUGCCCUGCCUGAGUCUCAGGAGAAGAGGCCGCUGAAGCCCUGCUGCACUUGCCCGGAGACCAAGAAGGCACGCGAUGCGUGUAUCAUCGAGAAAGGAGAAGAACACUGUGGACAUCUAAUUGAGGCCCACAAGGAAUGCAUGAGAGCCCUAGGAUUUAAAAUAUGAAAUGGUGGUCUGCUGUGUGAAUAAAUAAUUCCUGAAGGAUGAAGAAGAUUAAUUUUGGGAGUUCUUUGAUGAACUUUGAUAUGUGGAAAAAGUAUUUAUAAUUUAUUGUAAGAAGAAAGUAAAAUAUUACUAGUGGAAAAA